Molecule: ribosomal RNA, 482 nt
Filed under: uncultured bacterium
Lineage: Bacteria
Description: partial 16S ribosomal RNA
Rfam family: Bacterial small subunit ribosomal RNA
Source: RNAcentral
AUUGAACGCUGGCGGCAUGCCUUACACAUGCAAGUCGAACGGUAACAGGGCUUCUGCUGCUGCCGAAUGGCGAACGGGUGAGUAAUACACCGGAACGUGCCCAGACUGGGGGGGUAACGAAGCGAAAGCUUUGCUAAUAUAGCACACGAUCUAAGGAUGAGAUCCGGGGGCCUCACGGACUUGCUCGUUUUGAGCGGCCGCUGGGUGGUUCGGUAGUUGGUGGGAUAAAAGCUUACCAAGCCGACGCUCUGCAGCUGGUCUGAGAGGAAGACCAGCCACACUGGAACUGAGACACGGCCCAGACUCCUACGGGAGGCAGCAGUGGGGAAUUUUGGACAAUGGGCGAAAGCCUGAUCCAGCAAUGCCGCGUGCAGGAUGAAGGCCUUCGGGUUGUAAACUGCUUUUGUACGGAACGAAAAGGAUCUGGCUAAUACCUGGGGAACAUGACGGUACCGUAAGAAUAAGCACCGGCUAACUACGUG